Long non-coding RNA from Gorilla gorilla gorilla (western lowland gorilla), 1483 nucleotides. RefSeq lists it as uncharacterized. Lineage: Eukaryota; Metazoa; Chordata; Mammalia; Primates; Hominidae. The record is from RefSeq and is a predicted model, not a curated record. The transcript is spliced from 6 exons.
ACUGUUUCUGUCACACAGGCUGGAGUGCAGUGGUGUGAUCGUGGCUCACUGCAGUCUGAAACUGCUGGGAUCCAGUGAUCAGUCAUCCCACCUCAUCCUACCAAGUAGUGGGGACCACAGGUUCAUGCCACCCGGGUCUCGCUAUGUUGCCCAGACUGAUCUUGAGCUCCUGACCUCAAGCGAUCCUCUCACCUUGGCCUCCCAAAGUGCAAGGAUUACACGUAUGAGCCACCAUGCCUGACCCCUACCCUGCCUAUUGAGAACCAAAAGAAGGAUCCAAAUUCUCCUUAGCUCAACUCGAGCCAUUUCCCGAUUGCUUCAUCAGCAAGGAGCUGGUUAUUGGGCUGUCCAGGCCUCCCAAACUGCACAGAAAUGAGAAACAGGACCUUGCUGUGUCACUCAGGCUGGCGUUCAGUGGUCCUAUCACGGCUCACUGUAGCCUCAAACUCCCAGGGUCAAGCGAUCCUACCACUUCAACCUUCCCAGUAGCUGGGACUACAGCUGGAUCUACCAUGAAAGACUUCAGAGUCUAGGAAGAGAGACUGACUGGGCAACAUGUUAUUCAGGAAGUGGUGAAUUAAGUGUGGCAGGAAUACUUUGUAGCGACAGUAAUUUGCUUGUAUGGAAUUUUGCCUGAGAGACCUCACUACAGUUUCUAAUCUUUUGAUGUUAUCAUCCAUCCCUGUCCUUGUCAAAUAGUUUGGAAUAGGAGAUGGGGUCUCACCCUGUCACCCAGGCUGGAGUACAGUGGUGCCAUCACAGCUCGCUGCAGCUUUGAACUCCUGGGCUAAGGAUCCUCCUGCCUCAGCCUCCUGAGUAGCUGGGACUGUAGACAAGGUCUUGCUCGGUUGUCCAGGCUGGAGUGUGGUGGUGCUAUCACAGCUGUCUGCAGUCUCAACCUCCCAGGCUCAAGCAAUCCUCCCACGUCAGCCUCCCAAGUUGCUGAGACUAUAGGUGCUUGCCUCUAUGCCCAACUCAUAUUUGGACUUUUUCUAUAUGUGGGUUCCAGAGGGAUGACUGCGAAACGUGAGUAUGCAUAGAUUUUGGUAUAUGCAGAGAUAGGUGGCUGGAACUAAUUCUCUCUGUAUACCAAGGGACAACUGUAUGUGGUUUUGCAGUUGUGCUGUGGGACAUAUAUUGUUCCAUAGUCUUUAAAAUAAUAAUGUGUAAUGACAAAUAAUUUUUAAUAGAGUGGAAUAAUAAUAUUGAUAAAAGUAGCAACUGGCCAAGUGUGGUGGCUCACACCAUUAAUCGCAAUACUUUGGGAGGCUGAGGCAGGAGGAUGGCUUGAGGUCAAGAGUUUGAGACAGGUCUCGGAAAGAAAGGGAGUCACCAUCUCUACAGAAAAAAACAUGAAUUAGCCUAGUGUGGUGAUGUGUUCCUGUAGUCCCAGCUACUUGGGAGGCUGAGGUGGGAAGAUCACUUGAGCCCAGGGAAGCUGAGACUGCAGUGAGUCAUGAUCAGGCCUCUGCACUCCAGUCUG